Long non-coding RNA from Xiphias gladius (swordfish), 1015 nucleotides. RefSeq lists it as uncharacterized. The record is from RefSeq and is a predicted model, not a curated record. The transcript has 3 exons. NCBI's taxonomy places the organism in Eukaryota, Metazoa, Chordata, Actinopteri, Istiophoriformes, Xiphiidae.
AAACACUUUGGUUGUAACACUGGGUUUCAGUAGGAGGAGGAGAGUUGGUAACUUCACUAGUUAGUGUGUUUUAAUGUGGUUUCAUGACUGACUCACCUGGACACAGACCAGAGAUUCUGCUCCUCUACUAACGAGCAGCAAGUUCAGUCAUGUCUGUGAGGAUCUGAAGAGUUAACAUAGUUUCGCUGUGGUUUAGGGAAUCUGAGUCAGGACUGCUAGUUCCCUAGGAAUACCUGGAAAUACGAGUAAACGCCUAGAAAUGUCUGUAACCGAACAUCUUGCCUCCAAUCCUGCUGUCAACAAAGUCAGACACCAGAAUCACUGAUUUGACUCUUCAUUAAACCAGAUCUGCACUGAAACAUGCUUACAGCUGGAGACUGAGAUGUGGUCUGAACUUGGUACCAGUUCCAUCAGAUUCUGAUCAUUUACAACUGAGACAUUAGAGUAGAACUAAUCCAGUGUUCUCUCUCCUGAUAGUGAUCCAGAUAGAUGAACUCAGCAUCUGUUAAAUAUUUGAAAAAUAUCAGGAAAAUAUUGUAAUUUCUGUAAACCAACCAUUAAAACCUAUUAAUAAUGAUGUAAUGAUGGUAUUUUAAUGUGAUUUUUAAGGAGGUUUACUAAUGGCUACAUUAAUGGAAUCUAUUAUGAUAUAAAGUUAUUGCGUUUGUAAAAUAAUGGUACUUUUUAAUCUAUUACAAUGCAAAUUAAGGAAAAUGUUAAUUCAUAAAUUUAAAAAGGAGUAAUUAUCCUUUAAAAAUAAAUUCAUUAAUGUACAAAACUCCUUAAUAUUUUCUAAACAGUGACAUGUAUCUGCAGCAGGUGGCCACACGAACUUUUAUCUAAUUUAUUUAUUAUCUUUUAUUUUAUGUACAGUUUUAAAUGUAAUUUUAAUCUAUUUGAUUUGUUUCAUUAUUUUUAUUUCUACAUUUAAAUGUUUUAGUUUUAUUAUCAGCUGCUCUGUUAACUGAAACACACUCUGACCUGCCAUCAUCUGUAUGAAAGGUGAUAUACAAAU